Molecule: unclassified non-coding RNA, 240 nt
Filed under: soil metagenome
Description: partial contains 5.8S ribosomal RNA, internal transcribed spacer 2, and large subunit ribosomal RNA
Source: RNAcentral
AACUGAUACUACCUGCGGGAACCUGCGGAAGGAUCAUUAUUGAAUUUUAUCAAAGAAAAAUGUUGUGCUUUCUCUUGAAAGGGGGAAUAGUGCAAUGUUUUUCUUUUCCAAACAAACGAUCACAACUAACAAGAAAAUUGGUUUGGAAACAAACAAGUGUUUGCCUGAUAAUCAAGAUGAUUUGGAUUGGAGAAAGAAAUACAACUUUCAACAACGGAUCUCUAGAUCGGAAGAGCACAC